RNAcentral lists this ribosomal RNA (425 nucleotides) under uncultured bacterium. RNAcentral's name for it is "bacterial SSU rRNA". It matches the Rfam family "Bacterial small subunit ribosomal RNA", at positions 354 to 796 of the family's 1533-position model. The record is from RNAcentral.
GUUAGGAAUAUUGGACAAUGGACGCAAGUCUGAUCCAGCCAUGCCGCGUGAGUGAUGAAGGCCUUCGGGUUGUAAAGCUCUUUAGCCGAUGAUUAUAAUGACUGUAGUCGGAAAAUAAGCCCCGGCUAACUUCGUGCCAGCAGCCGCGGUAAUACGAAGGGGGCGAGCGUUAUUCGGAAUCACUGGGCGUAAAGCGUGCGUAGGCGGUUUUGUAAGUUGGGAGUGAAAGCCCAGGGCUCAACCCUGGAAUUGCUCUCAAAACUACAAGACUUGAAUUCGGGAGAGGAUAGCGGAAUUGUCAGUGUAGCAGUGAAAUGCGUAGAUAUUGACAGGAACACCAGUGGCGUAAGCGGCUAUCUGGACCGACAUUGACGCUGAGGCACGAAAGCGUGGGGAUCAAACAGGAUUAGAAACCCUAGUAGUCC